UACGGAGGGUGCGAGCGUUGUCCGGAAUCACUGGGCAUAAAGGGCGCGUAGGCGGCGCGGGUAGUCAUCGGUGAAAGUUCAGGGCUCAACUCUGAAUCGGCCGGUGAUACUCCCGUGCUCGAGCACUGUAGAGGCAGGUGGAAUUCCGGGUGUAGCGGUGGAAUGCGUAGAGAUCCGGAAGAACACCGGUGGCGAAGGCGGCCUGCUGGGCAGUAGCUGACGCUGAUGCGCGACAGCGUGGGGAGCAAACAGG
Molecule: ribosomal RNA, 253 nt
Filed under: uncultured bacterium
Lineage: Bacteria
Description: partial 16S ribosomal RNA
Rfam family: Bacterial small subunit ribosomal RNA
Source: RNAcentral